CAGAAUAUAUGCCCAGGAGUGGGAUUGUUGGAUCAUAUGGCGGUUCUACUUUUAGUUUUUUAAGGAACCUCCAUACUGUUCUCCAUAGUGGUUGUACAAGUUUACAUCCCCACCAGCGGUAUAGGAGGAUUCCCCUUUCUCCAUAUCUUCUCCAGCAUUUCCUGUUUGUAGACUUUUUAAUGAUGGCCAUUCUGACUGGUAUGGGCUGAUACCUUAUUGUAGUUUUGAUUUGCAUUUCUCUGACAAUUAGUGAUAUUGAGCAUCUUUUCAUGUGCUUUUUGGCCAUCUGUAUGUCUUUGGAGAAAAGUCUAUUUAGAUCUGCUCAUUCUUUGAUUGGGUUGUUUGUUUUUCUGGCAUAGAGUUACAUGAGCUGCUUACAUAUUUUUUGAGAUUAAUCCCUUGUCAGUUGCUUCACUUGCAAAUAUUUUCUCCCAUUCUGUGAGUUGUCUGUUCAUCUUGUUUAUAGUUUCCUUUGCUGUGCAGAAGCUUUUAAGCUUUAUUAGGAUAAAGAAACUUUAAUGAUAUAUUUACAGAACUUCAGAGUACCUCUCCUACAAAACACUUGUAAUUUCGAUGGGAAACAGAGAAAUCCAAAUUAUGAAACAUUCUACGAAAUAACCAUGCUAAAAUCCUAAAAAAAUUGUCGAGGUCAUGAUCGUCAAGGAAAGAUGCAGAACUGUUCCCCAUUGAAGGAAACUAAAGAGAAAUGGAAACCAAAUGCAUUACCAUGAUUCUGAAGUGGCUCCUUCUGCCAUAAAGAAUAUUUUGGGGACAACGAGUGAAACUUGACUGAGGACUAAAGACCACAAAGAGAAGUGGGCCCAGAAGUGAAAAGCGAGCACUGCCUACAUUCCUGAGGUUUCUUGCCCCAUUCUUGUCCCUCCCGAGACCCAGCAGCAUUUCUACCCAUGGAUUCUGUGCCUUUCUCCUUCUCUUGGAAUCUUGCAGGCCCCCUGGGAACUGGGGGGCACAGAGCUUGCAGUGACAAUCAGGCAACCCAGCCAUGACGUGCUGCAGAGCGUGGAGGAAGAGGAAAUUUGGGCCCAUAUCACUUCUCCUUGAAUCCUGUGACUCAGAUCUCCAUCCUUCCACCACCUCUGCCCCAUUCUUUCCCGGCCCAUGAUAAGACUGAAGGCAGGACAUCGUCCCUGGGCCCGUAACGGUAUGUCCACAGAAUCCAUCUCAACACGGCGACACAGCCAGAUGAUCGGAGCAGGCACAUGGCACACAUUUGCCAUCCCUCACCUUGGAAGGUGUGUACAACUCGGACUUGCAGGGAUGGGAGACAGAGGGAGCAGGCUGAGCAGAGACACCGAGGUGGGCAACACAGACACAUGUGAUGGAGGCUUUUGUUGGGCUUGAUUCUUUCUUUCCUGAAGUUUCUUCCAAGAUUCCCUCUACACACUUAGACAUAAGUUAUCAGCUCCCCGAGGAAAGAGAGAAAGUUGACUCUUCCUGCUCUCUCCAGGAUCUGACACUCAUCAGAUAGAAUGGCCUCCUUAGCUUCGGGCGGCCAGAUCAGAGUCACAGCCACUCCAUGGGGCCAACCACGGUGCCACGAACAGUUGGAGCCCCAGCGAACAUUACAGGAGAGGCCAUAUCUUCUGUCCUCUGGUGUUUGGGGUCUUGUCUCCUGUACAUGGCAGGCAGCAUCCCUUGAACCUGGGAACUUAGUUUAUUUGUUAUCUGAUUGACGUGUCAACAAACAGUGGCAAAGGUUGCACUAGUCCCAAAUGCAGUGAGGCCCAGAACAAGGAGCACCUAAGCUUCACAGAGGAGCAGCGUGAACUGGGCUUGGAGUCAAGAAAGGACAAAGGGGUUAAAGAAAGAGAAUACAGUUCAGGAGGAGAGCUUGGGGCCACUGGCAACAGUUGCAAGGCUGACCAACUGUUUCUCAUAAGGCCCUGCCUGGUGGCAGGGACACAGCCUCUGUUAACCUCCUCCAGAGGGUUCUUUGCAAAUCCUCCUCACUGCCUCAGCCCUCUUGGCCUUACAUCAUUGGCCAGAGCUUUCUCCCUAAGGAGAACAGAGUGCUUCCAGAGUCCCAGAGUGAGUGGUGAUAGAGCAGAGAUUAGGAUCUGACUGAGUUACAGUCCUAGCUUUUCUAUUCUUAACUCUUAGGCUUUUAUGGAGCUCUGGGAGUUGAGCUGCUUUUUAAAAGGCCAAAGGCAUGGUGGGUACAACUUGCUCACCAUUAGGGAAAAAAAUUAAGUUAGAGAUCUGAGUCAUGGCUGACAUUAGAAUAAAUUCCAGAUGGCUGAAACCUUUGAAUGUAAAAUAUAAAAUCAUAAAAAUAGUAAAAGAAGAAGAAUAGAUAGAUGAAUAUUUAUUAAUAUCAUUUUGGAGUGGAAGGGAGUAGAGAAGACCAUUCUAAGUUCAACACCAAAGGCAGAUAAUAAAGAACAAAUUGACACUGGUUUUAAAAUCAUGCACAAGAAGUCUGGCACAAAAGUAGAAAUGUUAAGAAAGAACUUCAAUUUCAAAAUUUCAGCAUUAAUGGAACCUGGGCCAUUCCUUGGGAUUGUUAAUUUGGAAACUGCAUUUGAAGUAUCUAAUGAAAUUUCCCCCUUCCUUAUCCUCACACCUACACUCAUCACCCAGCUGUGGGGGAGAUUCACCUCAAACGAGGCUCUUUGGCCAGAGGUAAGGUCUUAUUCCAAACAGCUAAAGUCCAGAAAGAGAAGAGGAUUGUCAUACCCAAAAGACAAGACAGGUCCUCUUCUUCCUUACCUACACCCACCUCACCUACACCUAACCAAUACGCUCCACUCCUCCACAAAGUUACUACAUGGGGGCUCAGUAAACAAAACAGAUAAAAGUAAGAAUGCACAAUAAAGACAUGGACAAAUAUCUAGAAAACUACACAUUUGAAUAAAGUCAGGAUAAUGAAACAGGACCAUCACAAUCCGCUAUCAGAAAACCUAACAUCAGGAAACAGAAUUAGGGACUUCCCUGGUGAUCCAGUGACUAAGAUUCUGAGCUCCCAAUGCAGGGGGUCCAGGUUUGAUCCCUGGUCAGAGAAUUAGAUCCUUCAUUCAGGAACUAGGAAUUUGCAUGCCACAACUAAAGAUCCUGCAUGCUGCAACAAAGAUCAAUGAUCCUGAGUGAUGCAACUAGGACCUGAAGCAGCCAAAUAAAUAUUAAAUAGGCAGAAUUAACAAAUACUAAAGAACAAGACUUCAGAUUCACUGCAAUUAAUAGGUUCACAAGAAAUGUGAAAGGAUAUUUCAUAUAUUUAAAAAAAAAUCAACUGGAGAUUUUGGAAAUUUAAGAACUCAGUUUUCCAAAUAAAAAUUCAAUGGACUAAUCACAAAACAGAUAUUGCUGAAGGGUGAAUAACAAAGUUGAAAGAUCAAAUGGAGAAAUUCUCCCAAAAUGCAGUUCAAAAGAACAGAGAUGGGCAGUAUAAAAGAAAAGUUAGAUAGGAAUUCCCUGGCAGUCCAGUGGUUAGAACUUGGUGCUUUUUUUGCCAGGGCCUGGUUUCGAUCACUGGUCAGGGAACCAAGAUCCCACAAGCCCCAUGGUGCAGCUAAUAAUAAUAAAAGUUAGAAGACAGAGAGAGGUCAGUUUAUUCCACUGCCAGUAGUUUGCCAACCUCUCUGCUUUAUGGUUCAGUGUUCUCAUUUGUAAGAUGGAAACAAUAAUUAUGCCUACUUCAUAGGUUUCUGGGAAUUAAAUAGGGUUCUGUGUCAAGUACUUUGCUCACCACCUUCACACAAUAAGUAACCAAUAAAUGUUACUGUUGAUAAUAAUGUGAUUGUUGAUGUAGGUGCUGAGAAUGAAGAAGGGGCUCGUGUUUAUUCAUCACCUACUGUGCACACAGCAAGGCUGAAUCUUAAAGGGACUUGGAAGGUUUCAUUUAGUUAUUUUUAUUACUUAAUGAAAAACACCUCAUGUUGGCAUAGAAAAAAAGUGGGGAAUCCAUGGAGGAUGGAUCCAGAAAUUCUACCAUCCUAUUUUAUAGGAAUUUCAGAAAGGGAGAACAGAGGGAAUGGAAGGGAAAAAAAUUAAAAAAGAAAGCAAUGACAUAUUGUUUCCUAGAAGUGAAGAAAGGAAUAAGCUUUCACAGUGAAAUGGCCCACUGA
Molecule: long non-coding RNA, 4085 nt
Organism: Cervus elaphus (red deer)
Lineage: Eukaryota; Metazoa; Chordata; Mammalia; Artiodactyla; Cervidae
Exons: 6
Source: RefSeq, a predicted model, not a curated record